AACGAACGCUGGCGGCAUGCCUAACACAUGCAAGUCGAACGAGACCUUCGGGUCUAGUGGCGCACGGAUGCGUAACGCGUGGGAAUCUGCCCUUGGGUUCGGAAUAACAGUUGGAAACGACUGCUAAUACCGGAUGAUGACGUAAGUCCAAAGAUUUAUCGCCCAAGGAUGAGCCCGCGUAGGAUUAGCUAGUUGGUGAGGUAAAGGCUCACCAAGGCGACGAUCCUUAGCUGGUCUGAGAGGAUGAUCAGCCACACUGGGACUGAGACACGGCCCAGACUCCUACGGGAGGCAGCAGUGGGGAAUAUUGGACAAUGGGCGAAAGCCUGAUCCAGCAAUGCCGCGUGAGUGAUGAAGGCCUUAGGGUUGUAAAGCUCUUUUACCCGGGAUGAUAAUGACAGUACCGGGAGAAUAAGCUCCGGCUAACUCCGUG
Molecule: ribosomal RNA, 433 nt
Filed under: uncultured bacterium
Lineage: Bacteria
Description: partial 16S ribosomal RNA
Rfam family: Bacterial small subunit ribosomal RNA
Source: RNAcentral